GCUCUCGUAGUUUAAUGGAUAGAACAGUGGUUUGCGGAACCACCGAUACAGGUUCGAUUCCUGUCGGGAGCA
Molecule: transfer RNA, 72 nt
Filed under: Candidatus Beckwithbacteria bacterium
Lineage: Bacteria; Candidatus Beckwithiibacteriota
Description: tRNA-Arg
Rfam family: tRNA
About the family: Transfer RNA (tRNA) molecules are approximately 80 nucleotides in length. Their secondary structure includes four short double-helical elements and three loops (D, anti-codon, and T loops). Further hydrogen bonds mediate the characteristic L-shaped molecular structure. tRNAs have two regions of fundamental functional importance: the anti-codon, which is responsible for specific mRNA codon recognition, and the 3' end, to which the tRNAs corresponding amino acid is attached (by aminoacyl-tRNA synthetases). tRNAs cope with the degeneracy of the genetic code in two manners: having more than one tRNA (with a specific anti-codon) for a particular amino acid; and 'wobble' base-pairing, i.e. permitting non-standard base-pairing at the 3rd anti-codon position.
Source: RNAcentral